This is a long non-coding RNA of Drosophila mojavensis, 1434 nucleotides long. RefSeq lists it as uncharacterized. NCBI's taxonomy places the organism in Eukaryota, Metazoa, Arthropoda, Insecta, Diptera, Drosophilidae. The record is from RefSeq and is a predicted model, not a curated record. The transcript has 2 exons.
ACUUCUACUUCUACUUCCACUUCUACUUCUACUUCUACUUCUUCGACUUCGACUACUUCGCCCUUGAAGUACUUGUGUCUAGGCUAACGGUACUUCUUGUCGAUUAAUUUGGAUAGUUGGCAAAGUGCAAUUGGGGCUCGCAUAGUUAGGUAAAUGCCAAGCGAAGAUGCGCCACGAAAUUGGUGCUUCGAAUAGUUUUGGUUGGCGACGUUGCAACGCAAUUGUUGCCACCUUCCCCAUCAAGGUGUGUGUGUGUGCGUGUGUGUGUACAUAUAUAUAUAUUUUAGGAGUAGUGUGUAUAACGAGUGAUUGUUGGUGAGGGUUGAGUAGGAUACGGGAGGGGCGUGGCGGGGCAAGGUGCGGCUCGGUACACGAGUUCUAACCACGAUGACGCCGCGACGCGCUGUGCGAUUGAGUUGCGACCUGCCUGCCUGCUGCUGCUGCCUGCUGCCUGCUGCUGCUGCCUGCAACAUGCUAUGGAUGGAUGGUGUAUUGGUUGCUUGGAUAGCGUAUUGUAUGUGAGAGUGAGAGAGGGAGUGAUGGUGGGGGCUUUGGCAGGCGGGCAUGUGAUGGUGGAGGGGAGUGGGCAGGGGUGUGGGCAGGGUAGGCUGUGUUCAGUAGUGUAGUUGUUGGCUGACUGGCUGGCUUGGACCUACAACGUAAAAUAAAAAAUCUGCGCGUCGACGUCUACGCAUUGGGAACUCUUAGCUAUGUUGGCAAAAGCGCUGUCGACGCUGACGUCGCUGCUGCUGCGUGCACCCGUGUGUAUGUGUGUGUGUGUGAAGGGUAUGCGUGUGUCUCUCUGUGUUUGUGUGUGUGUGUGUGUGUGUGUGUGUGCACGCGUUUAAAUUGAAAAUGCGGCUAGGCGAGAGAGACGCCCUGCCUAACUCAAACUCAGUGUUUGCCCCACUGUACCCGCUCAUCUAGGAGGUGCCACGCAGCCUGCUGUUUGUGUACCCUGCCCACGCCCAGUCCAGUUGCUGUUGCUGUUGCUGUUGGCGUUUGCCGUUUUCUUUGCUGCCCGCUGCGUUUGCUGACGUCGCCGUCGUUGCUGAAUGCAAAGCGACGUCAGGCAGCCGCAGCCGCCGCAGCAGCAGCAGUAGCAGCAGCAACAGCAGCAGCAGCCAGCACAGGCCGCAGCUGAGCUAGAGGCAGCAACAGCAUCAUUCAGUUUCAGUCGCAAUUCAAACGCCAUCAAAAUCAAAACGUGUCUCACUCAACUAAUUGUUGGCGCAAAGAAAUUGUUCUUCCCCAAUAAUAAUCUCCAUAUGUAUAUGUAUUUAUAUGUAUAUGCACACACAUCCAGUUGCAUACGAAUAUACAUAUAUAGCGCACAGAAAUACAUACGCAUGCACAAAGAAAUACAGACGCCUAUGUAUGUAUAUAUAAUAUACAUGUGCAAUGCAAAAUUGGCAAUUGCAAGCGCAAAGCUAU